Lycium barbarum (goji berry) is the source of this 1027-nucleotide long non-coding RNA. RefSeq lists it as uncharacterized. The record is from RefSeq and is a predicted model, not a curated record. NCBI's taxonomy places the organism in Eukaryota, Viridiplantae, Streptophyta, Magnoliopsida, Solanales, Solanaceae. The transcript is spliced from 2 exons.
UUUCUUCAGCCGCCUCCCUUCCCCUUCUCUCUCUCUCUCUCUCCCCUCCAUUUUUAGCUAAACUCCCCUUUCUCUUUAGCCAUGGACAGAGACUGUCCUUCCAUUUCUGUGUAAGUCUGCACUACUCAGAACCUUUCCAUUCCUUUGGGGAAUAUAGACACAUAAAAUCUUCAAAGAUCAGAGGAAAUCGGCCCAUUUUUUAGCGCAGCCUGAACCAUCACAUGAAGGUCUGCAACGUUCGAUUUCGGAGGCUGAGGAUUCGAUUUCAAAUAUCGAUUCCAAUUCCCGCCCAAAAAUGUUAGCCUAAAACCCUAGCUCAUCACUAUAAAUAGAAGCUUUGCUGCUCAUGAAAAGGGGAUUUUUUUUGGUCGGAAAAACACUCUUGAAAGUCCUUGCGUUUAUUUUGGGUUUCACCAGAGUUUUUUUUUUGGAGCCAUCAUCGUCAUUUGAAAUUAUUUGAAAUCAAACUAAAUUUCUUUAAAAAAAAAAGAGUAUUCUAUGUUGUCGAGAUUUUUGAUUCGAAAGAUUUUCCGAGUUUGGGUUCGUCACGUUCGAGCAUAGAUCUAAACCCCGCACCCCUGUUCGCUGCACCCAAAAAAGCAUGUUCUUGACUUUUCAGAAGUUAGUUUACUUUGGAGUUCGAUCAAUACAUGUCAAAUAUGUUUUCUCAAAUGGUAUUACACAAGCUACUGCACUACUUUCCAAGGACAUUUCAAGUCAUGACAAACCGACGAAAAGCGUUUUGUAGCAUCCUUCUUACUGGGAUUCGGCUGUACUGGAUAUUUAUGUGUUGUUUCUGUCUCUGUCUACGCUCGAGUUGUAAGAUCAUGACUGCAAAUACUGCACCAGUGUUAAGCAUGAAUAUGUUAUCAGGGACAUCAUUGUUUAUGUCAACAGGCUGAUUUUUUUUUAAACUUUCUUAAACUUUCUCCAACAUAGAAUCUUAGCAUGCGUUGGCAUUAUAAUUUUAUUUACUAUUACCACACAUUUAAAGGCAUAAUAAUUACCAACUUAUUGAUACUCCUUA